This 758-nucleotide unclassified non-coding RNA is filed under the name uncultured bacterium. Its description in RNAcentral is "partial contains 16S ribosomal RNA, 16S-23S ribosomal RNA intergenic spacer, and 23S ribosomal RNA". The record is from RNAcentral.
UGCGGCUGGAUCCCCUCCUUUCUGGAGAUCUCGAGUAAGCGACGGCUUGCCGUCUGCGGAAAGAGCUCCGGUGUCGCCCGCACUCGUCCACGAUCCGUCGUUCCAUUUAUUUCUUUGCUGAUGCGGUGAGCAGUCAGCAGUGAGUGGUGAGCAGGUACUGCUUACUACUUACUGCUCACUGCUGGACUCGUGACGCUUCUUGACAUUCGGAAGGUCCGGAAGGGGCCGAAGCCUUCCUCCGAAUGGCGGUCGCGCAUUAAUGGUGAAGAAUCCACACCCUAUAAAUUUGGAAUGAGAGGCCUCUCAAGGCCUCCUUAUCUCCGUAAUAUAUCUCAGAUCUAACCCCAUAAAGCGCACCGGGGAUGCCCUGGGAUCUCAGGGGCGAUGAAAGACAUGAUAAACUGCGAUAAACCCGGGGGAGCUGCACAUUAACUGUGAUCUCUGGAUGUCCCAAAUGGGGAAAACCCGAAACCCCAUUGAAUUUUCGGGCGCCCGGAAGUCUAACAUAUUGGAGAAGCUCCCACGCCCUGGAAGGGCAAACCUGAGUAUUCUCUAAGGGCACCCCAAAAAGCUUGGGGGAAACAUGGGGCUAAACGGUUUCCCGGGGGGAAAUUGUUUUCCCCUCCCAAUUUCCCCCAACAUUAUAAGCCGGGAAACAAAAAGUGGAAACCCCGGGGGGCCCAAGGGGGGGGGUACCCCCCCUUAUUUGGGUGUGGGCCCCGGGCCCCUUUUUCAGGGGGGAAAACGUGUUGGGCCCU